AUGUAAAUUAUUUUUCUAACAUCAGUUCUUGAAAAACUGAUUUCUAUUCAUACAAUUAACAUCGUUUUUUAUAUCUGACCGAUGUCUAUAUUUUUUUUCAAAAUUUUUAAAAAACGCGGAAAUAACUAAGUACAAAAUUUCGGAAGCGCGGAACCAAAAUUUCGGAAGCGCGGAACCAAAAUUUCAUUCCCCCCAACGCUUAGUCAGUUUUGCCAGACUAUGUUUUCCUACACUUCGUCAAUUUUCAUUCCCAAAACCUAACAACCGCGACAGCCGUCUAGCAACCGACAUCCACUUCCUCCUUCUCCGCCUCCGACCGUUCCCUUCCUUCUUCUCCUCCUUGUCCGCCUCUGACCGUUCUCUAGUUUGAAGCCGGAGUCAGAGCUCCCAAUUAGCAAGGACGAGAUCCGAAGACACAGACCAUCCUUAUCACCCCCAAAACACAGAUUGCAGUCGCCGUCUCUUCUUUCUCUCUCCAUGGGCCUCUCCAUCUCAGCCCCUCUCUUCGACCAUCGAGACAUCGAUGGCCCUCGCUCUCCUCGUUAGUAACUCGGUAAGACGAACUGACAGUCGAAUAGUUGCCUGGGUUUUACUUUCUGGGUUUUCAAUCGAUCUAUCUCUCAUGAGCAUCUCCAUGAUUUUCUGGGCUUUCUGGGUUUUACUUCCUCAAGCAAUAAAGCAGAAAUUCUAGGUUACUUUCUGUGUUUGAUUUCUGAUUCUUCAAGGUUAAAGCUCCUUUCUGAAACUAUAGGUUGAAUUGUUCCGGUGACGCCGAUUGAAAGUACCGGUGCAUAUGUAUUUGAGGUAUUGUAACAUUUUUAGAUUCCCCCAUUUAAUUUGUUGCAUUUUGAAUUCUUUCGUAUGUUUAGAAUGUUAAUAGUUAUCAGUCUCUUAGUUGGGUUUGAAGUGCAGAUGAGGUCAGAUUAUAUAGUUUUGAUCUGGACUGAGCAAGAAGAAGUCUACACACGUCUAGUUCUGGUAACAUCUAACCUCAGUGUGAUUUUCCAGAUAUGCCUGCUGUAGCGCAGUUGGAGAAGGAUGCUAAACAUGCAUUGGCAUAUCAACUUUUGAAGGUAUUUUUGACCCAGAGGCUGGAUGCUUACUUGGAGUUUCAGGCAGCAAAUUCUACUCUGCUACAAAGCUGUGGUCUGGUCCAUGAAGAUUGUAUUACUAAGAUGAGGUUGAUUUCAUUGGUGGAUCUGGGCUCUGAUGAAUCUGGAUGAAUUCCGUAUAGUCUCAUCAGAGAUACACUUCAGAUUAAUGAUGAUGAAGUGGAACCUUGGGUGGUUAAGGCUAUAACAGCCAAGUUAUUGGUCUGUAGGAUGGACCAGAUGAAUGAAGUUGUAGUAGUAACCCGCUCUACUCAGCGUGUGUUCGGCAAGGAGCAAUGGCAUACUUUUAAGACAAAGCUAGCAUCUUCGAGGGUAAAUAGCUGCCUUCAGUGCUUAAUUUUGAAACGAAAAAAUAUAGAUACCAGAUAAGAACGACAAGGAUUUGGAUCGGGCGAGUGAGAGGCAGGAUCUUGAAGGAAAAGAGCUAAAGCAAGAAACUACUUUGCAGGAACUGGAGCUGGUUGCCGUCCAUGCUCUUCAUGAACUUGUUUCUUUAGUUCACAGUCAUGUCAAUGUUGCAGGGCAAUAUGAUUUUGAGUAAGGCUAGAUUUUGCUGACUAUUUUGUAGUAGAUGUAGUGAUAUCAGGAUGAAUUGUGAACAAAUUAUACGGCAUGUAGUUAUUGCAGUAGCGGUAUCUUCUAGACUAGCCUUAAAGUAGGUUAGGGUUUAAUUUUUGAAGCUACCUCAAGCUCUAAUUUUGUAUAGAAAUUAAUGCAAUUCCCCAAUAUUUGAAUUUCAUGUUAUUUGUGGAUCAA
Long non-coding RNA from Rosa chinensis, 1868 nucleotides. RefSeq lists it as uncharacterized. NCBI's taxonomy places the organism in Eukaryota, Viridiplantae, Streptophyta, Magnoliopsida, Rosales, Rosaceae. The transcript has 7 exons. The record is from RefSeq and is a predicted model, not a curated record.